AAGGUGGCCUGUGAGGGUUGCUGGAGGUAUCAGAAGUGCGAAUGCUGACAUAAGUAACGAUAAAGCGGGUGAAAAGCCCGCUCGCCGGAAGACCAAGGGUUCCUGUCCAACGUUAAUCGGGGCAGGGUGAGUCGACCCCUAAGGCGAGGCCGAAAGGCGUAGUCGAUGGGAAACGGGUUAAUAUUCCCGUACUUGGUGUUACUGCGAAGGGGGGACGGAGAAGGCUAUGUUGGCCGGGCGACGGUUGUCCCGGUUUAAGCGUGUAGGUGUGUGUUCCAGGUAAAUCCGGUUCACUUUAACACUGAGGCGUGACGACGAGGCACUACGGUGCUGAAGCAACAAAUGCCCUGCUUCCAGGAAAAGCCUCUAAGCAUCAGGUAACAUCAAAUCGUACCCCAAACCGACACAGGUGGUCAGGUAGAGAAUACCAAGGCGCUUGAGAGAACUCGGGUGAAGGAACUAGGCAAAAUGGUGCCGUAACUUCGGGAGAAGGCACGCUGACAUGUAGGUGAAGUGAUUUACUCAUGGAGCUGAAGUCAGUCGAAGAUACCAGCUGGCUGCAACUGUUUAUUAAAAACACAGCACUGUGCAAACACGAAAGUGGACGUAUACGGUGUGACGCCUGCCCGGUGCCGGAAGGUUAAUUGAUGGGGUCAGCGCAAGCGAAGCUCCUGAUCGAAGCCCCGGUAAACGGCGGCCGUAACUAUAACGGUCCUAAGGUAGCGAAAUUCCUUGUCGGGUAAGUUCCGACCUGCACGAAUGGCGUAAUGAUGGCCAGGCUGUCUCCACCCGAGACUCAGUGAAAUUGAACUCGCUGUGAAGAUGCAGUGUACCCGCGGCAAGACGGAAAGACCCCGUGAACCUUUACUAUAGCUUGACACUGAACAUUGAGCCUUGAUGUGUAGGAUAGGUGGGAGGCUUUGAAGUGUGGACGCCAGUCUGCAUGGAGCCGACCUUGAAAUACCACCCUUUAAUGUUUGAUGUUCUAACGUGGACCCGUUAUCCGGGUUGCGGACAGUGUCUGGUGGGUAGUUUGACUGGGGCGGUCUCCUCCUAAAGAGUAACGGAGGAGCACGAAGGUUGGCUAAUCCUGGUCGGACAUCAGGAGGUUAGUGCAAUGGCAUAAGCCAGCUUGACUGCGAGCGUGACGGCGCGAGCAGGUGCGAAAGCAGGUCAUAGUGAUCCGGUGGUUCUGAAUGGAAGGGCCAUCGCUCAACGGAUAAAAGGUACUCCGGGGAUAACAGGCUGAUACCGCCCAAGAGUUCAUAUCGACGGCGGUGUUUGGCACCUCGAUGUCGGCUCAUCACAUCCUGGGGCUGAAGUAGGUCCCAAGGGUAUGGCUGUUCGCCAUUUAAAGUGGUACGCGAGCUGGGUUUAGAACGUCGUGAGACAGUUCGGUCCCUAUCUGCCGUGGGCGCUGGAGAACUGAGGGGGGCUGCUCCUAGUACGAGAGGACCGGAGUGGACGCAUCACUGGUGUUCGGGUUGUCAUGCCAAUGGCACUGCCCGGUAGCUAAAUGCGGAAGAGAUAAGUGCUGAAAGCAUCUAAGCACGAAACUUGCCCCGAGAUGAGUUCU
RNAcentral lists this ribosomal RNA (1576 nucleotides) under Salmonella enterica. Its description in RNAcentral is "bacterial LSU rRNA". It matches the Rfam family "Bacterial large subunit ribosomal RNA", at positions 1253 to 2812 of the family's 2925-position model. Lineage: Bacteria; Pseudomonadati; Pseudomonadota; Gammaproteobacteria; Enterobacterales; Enterobacteriaceae. The record is from RNAcentral.